AUCCAGCUGACGAGCCUCACAUAAGACAAAACGCGCGUCCUGGAU
This is a non-coding RNA of Schistosoma mattheei, 45 nucleotides long. NCBI's taxonomy places the organism in Eukaryota, Metazoa, Platyhelminthes, Trematoda, Strigeidida, Schistosomatidae. The record is from Rfam.